This 497-nucleotide ribosomal RNA is filed under the name uncultured bacterium. RNAcentral's name for it is "partial 16S ribosomal RNA". It matches the Rfam family "Bacterial small subunit ribosomal RNA", at positions 28 to 507 of the family's 1533-position model. The record is from RNAcentral.
GAUGAACGCUGGCGGCGUGCCUAAUACAUGCAAGUCGAGCGAACAGACGAGGAGCUUGCUCCUCUGACGUUAGCGGCGGACGGGUGAGUAACCCGUGGAUAACCUACCUAUAAGACUGGGAUAACUUCGGGAAACCGGAGCUAAUACCGGAUAAUAUGUUGAAUCGCAUGGUUCAACAGUGAAAGACGGUCUUGCUGUCACUUAUAGAUGGAUCCGCGCCGCAUUAGCUAGUUGGUAAGGUAACGGCUUACCAAGGCAACGAUGCGUAGCCGACCUGAGAGGGUGAUCGGCCACACUGGAACUGAGACACGGUCCAGACUCCUACGGGAGGCAGCAGUAGGGAAUCUUCCGCAAUGGGCGAAAGCCUGACGGAGCAACGCCGCGUGAGUGAAGAAGGUCUUCGGAUCGUAAAACUCUGUUAUUAGGGAAGAACAAAUGUGUAAGUAACUAUGCACGUCUUGACGGUACCUAAUCAGAAAGCCACGGCUAACUACGUG